RNAcentral lists this long non-coding RNA (206 nucleotides) under Elaeis guineensis (African oil palm). RNAcentral's name for it is "long non-coding RNA (EGUI_LNC023568)". The record is from RNAcentral. Lineage: Eukaryota; Viridiplantae; Streptophyta; Magnoliopsida; Arecales; Arecaceae.
CAACUGAUUCCACAUGGCGAGCUACGGCGAUAGCCACGAUUUCGCUCCACUACCCUUCGCAAUAAAGUCCCCCUGACUACGGGCGGCCCACUACCAGACGGUUACAAACGUCGCCAUCAAUCCGUUACCUCCUCCGCCUAUAAAAGGGGGACCCAGAUACGUUAUUCUAUAAGCUCAUUUCUUAUCUCAAAACUCUGCUAAAUUCU